GAAAGAGCCGUUGGUCUUCAAUAACUCCAAGUGUGAAUGCAUCCAUGUAAGGUAAGUUGACAAAUAAGGGAUUCAUCUUGAUCAUGUGGCUGCUGGUGCAUGGUAGAAACUCUCCCACUGCUCUUAGAUGUAAUGAAUAAUCUCCUGGUUUCCACACGUGAGUUUGAGUUGCACACUCCUUAAGCAAAGAAUUACUUUCCUUAAUUAGAACCAAUUCGGAUGUAGUGUAGAUAGUCUGACUUGUAACUGGCAUAUCUCCUAAACCAUUACUCUUUUUGGUAUGAAAC
This 287-nucleotide long non-coding RNA is filed under the name Brassica rapa (field mustard). RNAcentral describes it as "long non-coding RNA (BRAP_LNC008261)". The record is from RNAcentral. Lineage: Eukaryota; Viridiplantae; Streptophyta; Magnoliopsida; Brassicales; Brassicaceae.